RNAcentral lists this long non-coding RNA (389 nucleotides) under Selaginella moellendorffii. RNAcentral's name for it is "long non-coding RNA (SMOE_LNC000625)". The record is from RNAcentral. Lineage: Eukaryota; Viridiplantae; Streptophyta; Lycopodiopsida; Selaginellales; Selaginellaceae.
GCUGUCGCCUUGCUCGUAAGUUCAUCUCUAGUCCUUGCUUGCCUGUUAAACUCACAUAACAAUGUCUCUCUUCUUUGGAUUAACAGUCACAAAACCAAGUCCAGGUCCCCUUCACCUUGCACGACAUUGACAGUGAACUUUGAUUCCGAUAUGCCAGAAGAACCGGUCGGCCACUAUCGAUGCACGUCUCAACCGGGCGUCGGGCACGUUGACACGGUGGAGAUAUCGCGGGACGAGUGUAGGAAGAAGAACUGGGCCGAGAUUAAAGUGAUCAAGGAACCGGACGAGGGAGGGACGGACAUAAAACACAUGCUUUCCAACAUCGAGGCCAACAUCAAUUACCUGCUGGAUUCGGAGAGGAAGAGGAGGUGGAGGGAGUCGCAGUUUAG